GGAAACAGCUCUGGGAGUAGAAGGAGCUAGCCAACUGAAGGGUUCUGUCACCAUUUUGAGAAUGAAUCAAAAUAACAUUUCAAAUUCUUUAAUAUUAAAAUUCUUCUUUUCUUCCUCUCAGCCAGCUGGUGCAUCACUUUUUUCCAUUUCAUAGCUAAUUCAUAAUGGUUAUAAGAAAAUACUACCAUGGUACUAGUUCCCUGAGUUGCUACAUAAGCAGGGGCCCAUGAUGAAGGGAGUGUUUUCUGAGCGGUAAGUUUUCCAUAGACAUAACUGGAUAUGCACUUUGCAGAUGUUUGGAAUACUGGAGUCCAGGCUCUCCUAUAGGGAAGAUGUGUUUGGUCCAAAAUGGCUUAGUGUGAAGUUGCUCAAAUGACCUCUGAGUGAAUAUAAAACCUCAUUCAUAUCCUGGACACUAAGUACAGAGGCCAUUAAGUGCUUUGUCCAGAACAGUCCUCAUUCCAGAGAUAGUUUAUGGAUCUGUAGUGAGAUUUCCCUUGACUGAUGCAUACAUACAGUUGAUUUCUGCCCCAAAAUAGGAAGUAUUGGAAAUUUAAGCAUAAUUCAGAAUAAACGUUUCCUUGGGAAAAAAAGAAAAAGAAAGACGGAGGGGAAAAAAAAAUAAAGAGAGAGAAAAAAAAAAAAGAGAGAGACAAUAAAUAAUAAAGAAAAAGUAAAAAAAACAGACAAACAAACCCCCAAACCUAUGUUUGUGAGUGUAAAUAUUUUCAGCUUUUCGAGAUGAUGCUUUGAGUGAUGAACUCACUACUCCAAUCUCUUUAUCUUUAGAAGCUGGUCUAUUUGGCUGGGCUGGGAAGAGUCUGGAAGUUGCACGAAGAACUUUCAUACGUGCAUUUUUCUGUUAAAAAUGUUGCAUUUCCGUUUUUACAUGAAAAGAGACAUCCCAGACAAGUCUCACUAGCACAUCUGUCUCUGUUUCUUUUGUGCAAAUCUAAUAGCAACAAACAAGCUUUGGGAAGUUUCUUUGGCAUAUCACUAAUGAAGGGAAGAAUGCAGUGACUAAUUACAAUUUGGGAAACAGACACUCUUUGGGCAACAGACACAUUAUAAAUGCUAAGGGAACCACUUUGAUUAACCACAGAUUUUUUAUCUAAGUUUACUUACUUGAGAAUCAUCAAAAAUUUCUGUCUUCAAGAAAUCCACUGGCUGCCUGAUUGUCCCAUCUUGAGCAGUUCUUUUUAGCUAGCUGCCCACGGUUUUUGCCCACGGCUUUGUUCAUCACUAGAAGUGUGAAACAGAGUUUUGUUGCCUGGGUGCACACAUUACAAGAGCAUGGUCCUCUGAGCCCGGAGUGAACUAAAUCCCCCAGUAGGUCAGAAGCAUUUAUGGCUUAUUAUACAAACAGUGACAAGGAUCAAAUAAUUUGCACUGUGGGCUUUCACACGCUCUGGAGAAAUUGCUGAAAUUAUUAAAAACUAUGGGAAAUCCCAGCAAGUAAUCCAUCACCUUCACAAAUAUUUUCCUCUUUGCAUCUAAUUUCAUGCAGAUGUGUUAGAGUCAAGGCAACGAUGCUUGUGUUUGAAUCUCUGCUGAAAGAUAUAAUAUCAGUCUUGGUGAGCUCUUCAUGUUUAAAAGAAGAGGAAGUUUUCCUUCACCUUGAAGAAACUUUGGACCCAUACUUACCUGUUGGUGCCAGGAGUUGGUGUUUCAUUUGCUGGAAAGCUUCCAGAGAGCUCUGCGCUCCUGUCAGACCCAUGGUUCCCUGGCUGGAGAGAGUGGAAUGACAUACAGAACCUCAACAGUGCAAGAAAUGGGCACUGAGUGAUGUCUGGAAGAUGGAGUGGCCAUCUCCAAAACAGCCACAGGUUGCCCUCACACUCAUGGCCAUUCACAAUCUCUCUGCACAGAGGCAAACCAGCCAUUCUGCUCCAAGCACCAAGUUUAAGUGAAGGCAUACAAGCAGAGAUUCUUCAUACUCAGAAGACUCAUCUGAAGUUCAUUCUUGAAACCUGUAAGUCACAAGAGGAAAAGAACAUGGGAGUGAGAGACAAAUCUGAGGAAGGAGGAAUUAUGACUAAUAAGAAGAAAGGAGGAAAAUAUUUUCAGGAUGGAAAAGUCAACAGCUUUUAGUAAGAGACAUUUUUCUUUUAAAAGAUUACAUUCAAUUUCCAAUCACAAAAAAAAAAUUAAAUGUUAGUACAUGGCAAAGUGUGCAUGUAUGGUUGUGAACAGUGAUUAUAAUAACACGCUCUUAAAGAUUCUGAAGAAUCUGUGGUUCCCACUUGCUUCAGUCGUGGAUCUGGAUCCCUACAGUUCCCAGCCCCUGUCUUUAAACAGUGACUCAUUUUCCAGACAAAAGACAGGCACUAUAACUGCACAAGAUCAAUGGUAUAUGCACUUAUAUUAGCUGAGUGGUGGGACGUGUUCUGCUUGGUUUUGACCUGUAGGUGCCAUACCCAGCACCACCUGUCAGCGUAUCAGCAACCAGCAUCCACCAAGCUCAGCUAUUGAUUGUUCCCAACAACAGCCACACAGAUUAAUAUUGUUUUUUGUCAUCCUUCUCUUCUAAACUCUUUUAUGAGGAAUGUUCUCAUAUUCAGCAGUAUUCUGGGAAGCACCAUUCCAAGGCUUACCUCCAGUUUAUACUACACUUCAUAUAUCUGCUCUGACUGCAGAAGUAGAUUAAAG
Long non-coding RNA from Gallus gallus (chicken), 2649 nucleotides. Lineage: Eukaryota; Metazoa; Chordata; Aves; Galliformes; Phasianidae. The record is from Ensembl.